RNAcentral lists this ribosomal RNA (32 nucleotides) under Wilcoxina mikolae. RNAcentral describes it as "partial 18S ribosomal RNA". Lineage: Eukaryota; Fungi; Ascomycota; Pezizomycetes; Pezizales; Pyronemataceae. The record is from RNAcentral.
UUCCGUAGGUGGAACCCUGCGGAAGGAUCAUU